GGCAGCAGUGGGGAAUUUUCCGCAAUGGGCGAAAGCCUGACGGAGCAACGCCGCGUGAGUGAUGAAGGCCUUCGGGUCGUAAAGCUCUGUCAAGUGGGAAGAACCUGAUGUAUGCUAAUACCAUAGAUCACUGACGGUACCACUGAAGGAAGCACCGGCUAACUCCGUGCCAGCAGCCGCGGUAAUACGUAGGGAGCGAGCGUUGUUCGGAAUUAUUGGGCGUAAAGAGCGCGUAGGCGGCUUGGCAAGUCCGUUGUGAAAUCCCAUAGCUUAACUGUGGAACUGCGACGGAAACUGCCUCGCUAGAGUGCGGGAGAGGAGAGUGGAAUUCCCAGUGUAGAGGUGAAAUUCGUAGAUACUGGGAGGAACACCGGUGGCGAAGGCGGCUCUCUGGACCGCAACUGACGCUGAGGCGCGAAAGCUAGGGGAGCAAACGGGAUUAGAUACCCCGGUAGUCCUAGCCGUAAACGAUGGGCACUAGGUGUAGGGGGCAUCGACCCCUUCUGUGCCGUAGCUAACGCAUUAAGUGCCCCGCCUGGGGAGUACGGUCGCAAGACUAAAACUCAAAUGAAUUGACGG
This 579-nucleotide ribosomal RNA is filed under the name uncultured bacterium. Its description in RNAcentral is "bacterial SSU rRNA". It matches the Rfam family "Bacterial small subunit ribosomal RNA", at positions 347 to 916 of the family's 1533-position model. The record is from RNAcentral.